Molecule: ribosomal RNA, 50 nt
Filed under: Prorocentrum minimum
Lineage: Eukaryota; Dinophyceae; Prorocentrales; Prorocentraceae
Source: RNAcentral
GAAAUCGCAUCGCACUCGAGCGACCUUAUCUUGGAAGCGGGCCACAAAUA